GGGGUUGUAGCUCAGCUGGGAGAGCGCCGCGUUCGCAAUGCGGAGGUCGAGAGUUCAAAUCUCUUCAGCUCCAC
Molecule: transfer RNA, 74 nt
Filed under: Rubripirellula tenax
Lineage: Bacteria; Pseudomonadati; Planctomycetota; Planctomycetia; Pirellulales; Pirellulaceae
Description: Planctomycetes bacterium Poly51 tRNA-Ala
Rfam family: tRNA
About the family: Transfer RNA (tRNA) molecules are approximately 80 nucleotides in length. Their secondary structure includes four short double-helical elements and three loops (D, anti-codon, and T loops).
Source: RNAcentral